This 454-nucleotide ribosomal RNA is filed under the name Helcococcus sp. canine oral taxon 069. RNAcentral describes it as "bacterial SSU rRNA". It matches the Rfam family "Bacterial small subunit ribosomal RNA", at positions 9 to 492 of the family's 1533-position model. The record is from RNAcentral. Lineage: Bacteria; Bacillati; Bacillota; Tissierellia; Tissierellales; Peptoniphilaceae.
GAGUUUGAUUAUGGCUCAGGACAAACGCUGGCGGCGUGCAUAACACAUGCAAGUCGAACGAAAUCUACAUGAUUUAGUGGCGAACGGGUGAGUAACACGUGAGAAACCUGCCUUACACAGAGGGAUAGCCGUUGGAAACGACGAUUAAUACCUCAUGACACCGUGACAUCGCAUGAUGAUGCGGUCAAAGAUUUAUCGGUGUAAGAUGGUCUCGCGCCUGAUUAGCUGGUUGGUGGGGUAACGGCCUACCAAGGCGACGAUCAGUAGCCGAUCUGAGAGGGUGGACGGCCACAUUGGGACUGAGACACGGCCCAAACUCCUACGGGAGGCAGCAGUGGGGAAUUUUGCACAAUGGGGGAAACCCUGAUGCAGCGACGCCGCGUGAACGAAGAAGGCCUUCGGGUUGUAAAGUUCUGUCCCUUGGUGAAGAUAAUGACCGUACCCAGNAGANGCC